This 400-nucleotide ribosomal RNA is filed under the name uncultured bacterium. RNAcentral's name for it is "partial 16S ribosomal RNA". It matches the Rfam family "Bacterial small subunit ribosomal RNA", at positions 338 to 735 of the family's 1533-position model. The record is from RNAcentral.
CCUACGGGAGGCAGCAGUGAGGAAUAUUGGUCAAUGGACGCAAGUCUGAACCAGCCAUGCCGCGUGCAGGAUGACGGCUCUAUGAGUUGUAAACUGCUUUUGUACGAGAAUAAACCCCGAUACGUGUAUCGGUUUGAAAGUAUCUUAUGAAUAAGGAUCGGCUAACUCCGUGCCAGCAGCCGCGGUAAUACGGAGGAUCCGAGCGUUAUCCGGAUUUAUUGGGUUUAAAGGGUGCGUAGGUGGGUUGAUAAGUUAGUGGUGAAAUUUUGGGGCUCAACCCCGAAAUUGCCAUUAAUACUGGUAGACUAGAGUACAGUUGCGGUAGGCGGAAUGUAUGGUGUAGCGGUGAAAUGCUUAGAUAUCAUGAAGAACACCGAUUGCGAAGGCAGCUUACCAAACU